This 439-nucleotide ribosomal RNA is filed under the name uncultured bacterium. Its description in RNAcentral is "partial 16S ribosomal RNA". It matches the Rfam family "Bacterial small subunit ribosomal RNA", at positions 338 to 794 of the family's 1533-position model. The record is from RNAcentral.
CCUACGGGUGGCAGCAGUGGGGAAUAUUGCACAAUGGGGGAAACCCUGAUGCAGCGACGCCGCGUGAGUGAAGAAGUAUCUCGGUAUGUAAAGCUCUAUCAGCAGGGAAGAAAAUGACGGUACCUGACUAAGAAGCCCCGGCUAACUACGUGCCAGCAGCCGCGGUAAUACGUAGGGGGCAGGCGUUAUCCGGAUUUACUGGGUGUAAAGGGAGCGUAGACGGCGCUGCAAGUCCGGAGUGAAAGCCCAGGGCUUAACCAUGGUACUGCUCUGGAAACUGUGGAGCUUGGGUGCGGGAGGGGAAGGCGGAAUUCUUGGGUUAGCGGGGAAAGGCGUAGAUAUUAGGAGGAAAACCGGCGGGGAAGGCGGCCUGCUGGACCGUAAUUGACGUUGAGGUUCGAAAGCGUGGGGAGCAAACAGGAUUAGAUACCCUUGUAGU